GAUGAACGCUGGCGGCGUGCCUAAUACAUGCAAGUCGAGCGAAGCGGGGACGGGUGAGUAACACGUGGAGAACCCCCUAUAAGACUGGGAUAACCUAGGGAAACCGGAGCUAAAACGGAUACUUAUAGAAGGAGCAGUGCUGCAUUAGCUAGUGGGUAAGGUAACGGCUUACCAAGGCAACGAUGCAUAGCCGACCUGAGAGGAUGAUCGGCCACACUGUAACUGAGACACGGUCCAGACUCCUACGGGAGGCAGCAGUGGGGAAUCUUCCGCAAUGGGCGAAAGCCUGACGUAGCAACGCCGCGUGGGUGAUGAAGGUCUUCGGAUCGUAAAGCUCUGUUAUUAGGGAAGCGGUACCUGCUCAGAAAGCCCCGGCUAACUCCGUGCCAGCAGCCGCGGUAAUAC
This 405-nucleotide ribosomal RNA is filed under the name uncultured bacterium. RNAcentral's name for it is "partial 16S ribosomal RNA". It matches the Rfam family "Bacterial small subunit ribosomal RNA", at positions 28 to 526 of the family's 1533-position model. The record is from RNAcentral.